Long non-coding RNA from Eptesicus fuscus (big brown bat), 280 nucleotides. RefSeq lists it as uncharacterized. The transcript has 2 exons. The record is from RefSeq and is a predicted model, not a curated record. Lineage: Eukaryota; Metazoa; Chordata; Mammalia; Chiroptera; Vespertilionidae.
GAUAAGUGCCAGUCAUUUUAAGAAUAAUGACUGGACAGGUAAACUCUGCUGACCCCUAGUAAUAACAAGAGCAAAUGAAAAUGAGGUGGCCACGUUGGAAAAUCCUUCUGGGCUUCUGCUUUGUGGGGAGAGAGGCAGCAAAGAUCUCCUGGAGCCGACAACUUGCCUGGGUUGAUAUCUCUGGCAUAUGAACGCGAACACUGUUCACACUCCAAGGCAUUUUGCCAUUUGAGUGACCAAGUUUGGUUGCAAAAAUCUCAAUACAGAUGAUCAAGUUUUA